RNAcentral lists this transfer RNA (62 nucleotides) under Mengenilla moldrzyki. RNAcentral's name for it is "tRNA-Gly". Lineage: Eukaryota; Metazoa; Arthropoda; Insecta; Strepsiptera; Mengenillidae. The record is from RNAcentral.
AUUUAUAUAAUAUAAUUAGUAUAUUUGAUUUCCAAUCAAAAAGUUUUUCUUAAAUAUAAAUA